GACCACGUAGCUCAGUUGGCAGAGCAUUGGGCUAGUAUUCCAAAGGUCCAAGGUUCGAUUCCCACCGUGGCCA
This is a non-coding RNA of Paramuricea clavata, 73 nucleotides long. Lineage: Eukaryota; Metazoa; Cnidaria; Anthozoa; Malacalcyonacea; Plexauridae. The record is from the annotation of a GenBank genome assembly.